Molecule: ribosomal RNA, 465 nt
Filed under: Vreelandella stevensii
Lineage: Bacteria; Pseudomonadati; Pseudomonadota; Gammaproteobacteria; Oceanospirillales; Halomonadaceae
Description: partial 16S ribosomal RNA
Rfam family: Bacterial small subunit ribosomal RNA
Source: RNAcentral
CCUACGUGGUGCAGCAGUGGGGAAUAUUGGACAAUGGGCGAAAGCCCGAUCCAGCCAUGCCGCGUGUGUGAAGAAGGCCUUCGGGUUGUAAAGCACUUUCAGUGGGGAAGAAAGCCUUGGGGCUAAUACCCUCGAGGAAGGACAUCACCCACAGAAGAAGCACCGGCUAACUCCGUGCCAGCAGCCGCGGUAAUACGGAGGGUGCGAGCGUUAAUCGGAAUUACUGGGCGUAAAGCGCGCGUAGGCGGUCUGAUAAGCCGGUUGUGAAAGCCCCGGGCUCAACCUGGGAACGGCAUCCGGGGGUGUCGGGGAGGAGUGCAGAGUAGGCAGGAGGAAUACCCGGGGCAGCGGCGAGAUGGGGAGAUGUCGUGAGGGAUGAGGGGGGAGAGGGCGGCCAGCAGGACUGAAAAUAUAGCUGGGUUGCGAAAGCGCGAGUAGCAAACAGGACCCGAGACCCUGUUAGUC